GCUGUAGCGGGUGCAGCAGGAGGGGUAAUACGGCGGGUGAAAUCGUUGUCCGGAUGCACUGGGCGUAAAGCGCGCGCAGUCGGGCUUAUACGUCUGGGGGGAAACCCCGGGGCGCAACCCCGGGACUGCCUUGGAUACGGGAAGACUUGAGGAUCGGAGAGGCAAGGGGAAUUCCACGUGUAGCGGUGAAAUGCGUAGAGAUGUGGAGGAACACCUGUGGCGAAGGCGCCUUGCUGGCCGACUUCUGACGCUGAGGCGCGAAAGCGUGGGGAGCAAACAGGAUUAGAUACCCGGGUAGUC
This 300-nucleotide ribosomal RNA is filed under the name uncultured Ignicoccus sp. RNAcentral's name for it is "partial 16S ribosomal RNA". It matches the Rfam family "Bacterial small subunit ribosomal RNA", at positions 496 to 795 of the family's 1533-position model. The record is from RNAcentral. Lineage: Archaea; Thermoproteati; Thermoproteota; Thermoprotei; Desulfurococcales; Desulfurococcaceae.